CCUACGGGGGGCAGCAGUUAGGAAUCUUGGACAAUGGGCGAAAGCCUGAUCCAGCCAUGCCGCGUGAGUGAUGAAGGCCCUAGGGUUGUAAAGCUCUUUCGACGGGGAAGCGGUACCCGUAGAAGAAGCCCCGGCUAACUUCGUGCCAGCAGCCGCGGUAAUACGAAGGGGGCUAGCGUUGCUCGGAAUCACUGGGCGUAAAGCGCACGUAGGCGGAUUGUUAAGUCAGGGGUGAAAUCCCGGAGCUCAACUCCGGAACUGCCUUUGAUACUGGCGAUCUUGAGUCCGGGAGAGGUGAGUGGAACUGCGAGUGUAGAGGUGAAAUUCGUAGAUAUUCGCAAGAACACCAGUGGCGAAGGCGGCUCACUGGCCCGGACUGACGCUGAGGUGCGAAAGCGUGGGGAGCAAACAGGAUUAAUACCCUUGUAGUC
RNAcentral lists this ribosomal RNA (431 nucleotides) under uncultured bacterium. RNAcentral's name for it is "partial 16S ribosomal RNA". It matches the Rfam family "Bacterial small subunit ribosomal RNA", at positions 338 to 795 of the family's 1533-position model. The record is from RNAcentral.